RNAcentral lists this ribosomal RNA (371 nucleotides) under unidentified archaeon. Its description in RNAcentral is "bacterial SSU rRNA". It matches the Rfam family "Archaeal small subunit ribosomal RNA", at positions 90 to 462 of the family's 1478-position model. The record is from RNAcentral.
UCAGUAACACGUAGUCAACAUGCCCAGGGGACGUGGAUAACCUCGGGAAACUGAGGAUAAACCGCGAUAGGCCAUGAUUUCUGGAAUGGUUCAUGGCCGAAAUCUAUAUGGCCCCUGGAUUGGACUGCGGCCGAUCAGGCUGUUGGUGAGGUAAUGGCCCACCAAACCUGUAACCGGUACGGGCUCUGAGAGGAGGAGCCCGGAGAUGGGCACUGAGACAAGGGCCCAGGCCCUAUGGGGCGCAGCAGGCGCGAAAUCUCUGCAAUAGGCGAAAGCUUGACAGGGUUACUCUGAGUGAUUCCCGCUAAGGGGAUCUUUUGGCACCUUUAAAAAUGGUACAGAAUAAGGGGGUGGGCAAGUCUGGUGCCAGC